UACGUAGGGGGCAAGCGUUGACCGGAUUUAUUGGGCGUAAAGAGCGUGUAGGCGGCCAAACAGGUCCACUGUGAAAACUCGAGGCUCAACCUCGAGAGGUCGGUGGAAACCGUCUGGCUAGAGUCCGGAAGAGGAGAGUGGAAUUCCCGGUGUAGCGGUGAAAUGCGCAGAUAUCGGGAAGAACACCCGUGGCGAAGGCGGCUCUCUGGGACGGUACUGACGCUGAGACGCGAAAGCGUGGGGAGCGAACAGG
Molecule: ribosomal RNA, 253 nt
Filed under: uncultured bacterium
Lineage: Bacteria
Description: partial 16S ribosomal RNA
Rfam family: Bacterial small subunit ribosomal RNA
Source: RNAcentral